RNAcentral lists this ribosomal RNA (323 nucleotides) under Ebriida sp. Its description in RNAcentral is "SSU rRNA". The stretch from base 113 to 323 matches the Rfam family "Eukaryotic small subunit ribosomal RNA", at positions 743 to 955 of the family's 1831-position model. Lineage: Eukaryota; Cercozoa; Thecofilosea. The record is from RNAcentral.
GAUUUCUGGGUGACUGUGCUAGCCCGCUCCUUUCCGGGAGUGUGUGCCGGCAUACGUCAUUCAUCCUUCUAGAAAGCCUUGCCUGCCGUUCAUUCGGCCGGGCAUGUGCGGUCUAGAUCUUUUACUUUGAAAAAAUUAGAGUGUUUAAAGCAGGCUUUUGCUAUGAAUACAUUAGCAUGGAAUAAUAAUCUAGGACUUCGGUUCUAUUUUGUUGGUUUCUAUAACUGAAGUAAUGAUUGAUAGGGACAGUUGGGGGUGCUAGUAUUGGCCGGCCAGAGGUGAAAUUCUUGGAUUCGGUCAAGACUAACUUAUGCGAAAGCAUU